GGGAGCGACUUGGCUUCGACAGGAGUAAGUCUGCUUAGAUGGCAUGUCGCUUUGGGCAAAGCGUAAAAAGCCCAAAUAAAAUUAAACGCAAACAACGUUAAAUUCGCUCCUGCUUACGCUAAAGCUGCGUAAGUUCAGUUGAGCCUGAAAUUUAAGUCAUACUAUCUAGCUUAAUUUUCGAUCAUCUUUGAUAGUGUAGCCUUGCGUUUGACAAGCGUUGAGGUGAAAUAAAGUCUUAGCCUUGCUUUUGAGUUUUGGAAGAUGAGCGAAGUAGGGUGA
RNAcentral lists this transfer-messenger RNA (279 nucleotides) under Campylobacter jejuni. RNAcentral describes it as "partial transfer-messenger RNA". It matches the Rfam family "transfer-messenger RNA", at positions 1 to 292 of the family's 374-position model. From Rfam's summary of the family: Bacterial tmRNA, also known as 10Sa RNA or SsrA, is named for its dual tRNA and mRNA-like properties. Lineage: Bacteria; Pseudomonadati; Campylobacterota; Epsilonproteobacteria; Campylobacterales; Campylobacteraceae. The record is from RNAcentral.